ACGGGGAGCACCACAACAGGUGGAGCCUGCGGUUUAAUCGGACUCAACGCCGGGAAACUCACCAGAUAAGACAGCUGAAUGAUAGUCGGGCUGAAGACUCUACUUGACUAGCUGAGAGGAGGUGCAUGGCCGUCGUCAGUUCGUACUGUGAAGCAUCCUGUUAAGUCAGGCAACGAGCGAGACCCACGCCAACAGUUGCCAGCUCGUCCUCCGGGAUGGUGGGGACACUGUUGGGACCGCCUCUGCUAAAGAGGAGGAAGGAAUGGGCAACGGUAGGUCAGCAUGCCCCGAAUUAUCCGGGCUACACGCGGGCUACAAUGGUCAGGACAAUGGGUAUCGACACCGAGAGGUGGAGGCAGUCUCCUAAACCUGUCCUUAGUUCGGAUUGUGGGCUGCAACUCGCCCACAUGAAGCUGGAAUCCGUAGUAAUCGCGUUUCAAAAUAGCGCGGUGAAUAUGUCCCUGCUCCUU
This 470-nucleotide ribosomal RNA is filed under the name uncultured Methanolinea sp. RNAcentral's name for it is "bacterial SSU rRNA". It matches the Rfam family "Archaeal small subunit ribosomal RNA", at positions 871 to 1337 of the family's 1478-position model. The record is from RNAcentral. Lineage: Archaea; Methanobacteriati; Methanobacteriota; Methanomicrobia; Methanomicrobiales; Methanoregulaceae.